AGCAGUAGCCACGGGAACACGUAGGGUGCAAGCGUUAAUCGGAAUUACUGGGCGUAAAGCGUGCGCAGGCGGUUAUAUAAGUCAGAUGUGAAAUCCCCGGGCUCAACCUGGGAACUGCAUUUGAGACUGUAUGGCUAGAGUGUGUCAGAGGGGGGUAGAAUUCCACGUGUAGCAGUGAAAUGCGUAGAUAUGUGGAGGAAUACCGAUGGCGAAGGCAGCCCCCUGGGAUAACACUGACGCUCAUGCACGAAAGCGUGAGGAGCAAACAGGAUUAGAUACCCCCGUAGUCCCUGUCUCUUAUAC
RNAcentral lists this ribosomal RNA (303 nucleotides) under uncultured bacterium. Its description in RNAcentral is "partial 16S ribosomal RNA". It matches the Rfam family "Bacterial small subunit ribosomal RNA", at positions 507 to 807 of the family's 1533-position model. The record is from RNAcentral.